Molecule: ribosomal RNA, 450 nt
Filed under: uncultured bacterium
Lineage: Bacteria
Description: bacterial SSU rRNA
Rfam family: Bacterial small subunit ribosomal RNA
Source: RNAcentral
AUUGAACGCUGGCGGCAGGCUUAACACAUGCAAGUCGAGCGGAGACUUCGGUCUUAGCGGCGAACGGGUGAGUAAUACCUAGGAAUCUGCCUAUUAGUGGGGGAUAACGGCUCGAAAGGGUCGCUAAUACCGCAUACGUCCUACGGGAGAAAGUGGGGGAUCUUCGGACCUCACGCUAAUAGAUGAGCCUAGGCCGGAUUAGCUAGUUGGUAGGGUAAAGGCCUACCAAGGCGACGAUCCGUAGCUGGUCUGAGAGGAUGAUCAGCCACACUGGAACUGAGACACGGUCCAGACUCCUACGGGAGGCAGCAGUGGGGAAUAUUGGACAAUGGGCGCAAGCCUGAUCCAGCCAUGCCGCGUGUGUGAAGAAGGCCUCGGUGUAAGCACUUAAGUACGAGGAGGGAAGGGUACGUUUGGAACUUAAUAAUUUCUAAAGAAUUAGACGUUACU